UGGGGAAUAUUGCACAAUGGGCGCAAGCCUGAUGCAGCCAUGCCGCGUGUGUGAAGAAGGCCUUCGGGUUGUAAAGCACUUUCAGCGAGGAGGAAGGUGGUGAGCUUAAUACGCUCAUCAAUUGACGUUACUCGCAGAAGAAGCACCGGCUAACUCCGUGCCAGCAGCCGCGGUAAUACGGAGGGUGCAAGCGUUAAUCGGAAUUACUGGGCGUAAAGCGCACGCAGGCGGUUUGUUAAGUCAGAUGUGAAAUCCCCGGGCUCAACCUGGGAACUGCAUUUGAAACUGGCAAGCUGGAGUCUCGUAGAGGGGGGUAGAAUUCCAGGUGUAGCGGUGAAAUGCGUAGAGAUCUGGAGGAAUACCGGUGGCGAAGGCGGCCCCCCUGGACGAAGACUGACGCUCAGGUGCGAAAGCGUGGGGCAGCAAACAGGAUUAGAUACCCUGGUAGUCCACGCUGUAAACGAUGUCGAUUUGGAGGUUGUGCCCUUGAGGCGUGGCUUCCGGAGCUAACGCGUUAAAUCGACCGCC
This 528-nucleotide ribosomal RNA is filed under the name uncultured bacterium. RNAcentral describes it as "partial 16S ribosomal RNA". It matches the Rfam family "Bacterial small subunit ribosomal RNA", at positions 355 to 873 of the family's 1533-position model. The record is from RNAcentral.